CCUACGGGAGGCAGCAGUGAGGAAUAUUGGUCAAUGGGCGUAAGCCUGAACCAGCCAAGUCGCGUGAGGGAUGAAGGUUCUAUGGAUCGUAAACCUCUUUUAUAAGGGAAUAAAGUGCGGGACGUGUCCUGUUUUGUAGGUACCUUAUGAAUAAGGAUCGGCUAACUCCGUGCCAGCAGCCGCGGUAAUACGGAGGAUCCGAGCGUUAUCCGGAUUUAUUGGGUUUAAAGGGUGCGUAGGCGGCCUGUUAAGUCAGCGGUGAAAUUCUGUGGCUCAACCAUAGAAUUGCGGUUGAAACUGGGAGGCUUGAGUGUGUUUAAGGCAGGCGGAAUGCGUGGUGUAGCGGUGAAAUGCUUAGAUAUCACGCAGAACCCCGAUUGCGAAGGCAGCCUACCGAGCCAUGACUGACGCUGAUGCACGAAAGCGUGGGGAUCAAACAGGAUUAGAUACCCCUGUAGUC
This 460-nucleotide ribosomal RNA is filed under the name uncultured bacterium. RNAcentral's name for it is "partial 16S ribosomal RNA". It matches the Rfam family "Bacterial small subunit ribosomal RNA", at positions 338 to 795 of the family's 1533-position model. The record is from RNAcentral.